This 1312-nucleotide ribosomal RNA is filed under the name Leptopilina clavipes. RNAcentral describes it as "SSU rRNA". It matches the Rfam family "Eukaryotic small subunit ribosomal RNA", at positions 141 to 1389 of the family's 1831-position model. The record is from RNAcentral. Lineage: Eukaryota; Metazoa; Arthropoda; Insecta; Hymenoptera; Figitidae.
GGAUAACUGUGGUAAUUCUAGAGCUAAUACAUGCAAACCAGAGUUCCGACCAGAGAUGGAAGGAACGCUUUUAUUAGAUCAAAACCAAUCGGUGGCGGGCUUUGCUCGUCCACCGUUUACUUUGGUGACUCUGAAUAACUUUGUGCUGAUCGCACGGUCUCGUACCGGCGACGCAUCUUUCAAAUGUCUGCCUUAUCAACUGUCGAUGGUAGGUUCUGCGCCUACCAUGGUUGUAACGGGUAACGGGGAAUCAGGGUUCGAUUCCGGAGAGGGAGCCUGAGAAACGGCUACCACAUCCAAGGAAGGCAGCAGGCGCGCAAAUUACCCACUCCCGGCACGGGGAGGUAGUGACGAAAAAUAACGAUACGGGACUCAUCCGAGGCCCCGUAAUCGGAAUGAGUACACUUUAAAUCCUUUAACGAGGAUCAAUUGGAGGGCAAGUCUGGUGCCAGCAGCCGCGGUAAUUCCAGCUCCAAUAGCGUAUAUUAAAGUUGUUGCGGUUAAAAAGCUCGUAGUUGAAUCUGUGUCGCACGCUGUCGGUUCGCCGCUCGCGGUGUUUAACUGACAUGCUCGUGAGACGUCCUACCGGUGGGCUUAGCUCCUUCGGGGGCGGUCCAACUAAUAUCCCAUCGCGGUGCUCUUUAUUGAGUGUCGAGGUGGGCCGGUACGUUUACUUUGAACAAAUUAGAGUGCUUAAAGCAGGCUAUCAUUUGCCUGAAUAUUCUGUGCAUGGAAUAAUGGAAUAGGCCCUCGGUUCUAUUUUGUUGGUUUUAAGAAACCCGAGGUAAUGAUUAAUAGGGACAGAUGGGGGCAUUCGUAUUGCGACGUUAGAGGUGAAAUUCUUGGAUCGUCGCAAGACGGACAGAAGCGAAAGCAUUUGCCAAAAAUGUUUUCAUUAAUCAAGAACGAAAGUUAGAGGUUCGAAGGCGAUCAGAUACCGCCCUAGUUCUAACCAUAAACGAUGCCAGCUAGCGAUCCGCCGAAGUUCCUCCGAUGACUCGGCGGGCAGCUUCCGGGAAACCAAAGCUUUUGGGUUCCGGGGGAAGUAUGGUUGCAAAGCUGAAACUUAAAGGAAUUGACGGAAGGGCACCACCAGGAGUGGAGCCUGCGGCUUAAUUUGACUCAACACGGGAAACCUCACCAGGCCCGGACACCGGAAGGAUUGACAGAUUGAGAGCUCUUUCUUGAUUCGGUGGGUGGUGGUGCAUGGCCGUUCUUAGUUGGUGGAGCGAUUUGUCUGGUUAAUUCCGAUAACGAACGAGACUCUAGCCUGCUAAAUAGGCGUACCUUAUGGUAUCUUGAAGGCCCCCGG